GCCGGUGUGGCGGAAUGGUAGACGCGCACGACUCAAAAUCGUGUUCCUUCGGGAGUGAGGGUUCGAGUCCCUCCGCCGGUA
RNAcentral lists this transfer RNA (81 nucleotides) under Verrucomicrobiales bacterium. RNAcentral describes it as "tRNA-Leu". It matches the Rfam family "tRNA". Rfam says of the family: Transfer RNA (tRNA) molecules are approximately 80 nucleotides in length. Their secondary structure includes four short double-helical elements and three loops (D, anti-codon, and T loops). Lineage: Bacteria; Pseudomonadati; Verrucomicrobiota; Verrucomicrobiia; Verrucomicrobiales. The record is from RNAcentral.